Long non-coding RNA from Pelodiscus sinensis (Chinese soft-shelled turtle), 657 nucleotides. RefSeq lists it as uncharacterized. Lineage: Eukaryota; Metazoa; Chordata; Testudines; Trionychidae. The record is from RefSeq and is a predicted model, not a curated record.
UGUGAAGUAGGGUAGAUAGUGUCUUUAAUUUGAAGAAAGCUAAACUGAAGAAGAAAGACAUUAAAUGGAUUUGUCAAAGGUCAUACUGAACAUUAGUGACAGUCCAUAAUAACUCUUUCAGUAAUGCCUGCAUAUGUGCUGAACUUUGAAGACCAUUAUGAAGAGGAAGCUAGCUGUUCUGAGCCUAAUGUUUUUCUGCACUACCACAAAGGAUAACGACUCACUCUUUUUGUAUAAUGGAAGCUGAGGUAAUCACGUAACAGCUAGAGAGGCCUGGCUGGAAAACAUGAAUUCCACCUUCCAAAAAAAGGUUGCGAUUUUGAAAUUUGUUUUUGUUCGGAUGUGGAAUGAAACCGAAACCCUACAAUAUGGGGAAAAAUAUGGGAGAUCAACUCUACACGAAGCAAGGAGAUAGGGCAGCUACCUGGGAUGUGGAAGAUGCUGUUUGAAGGCCCUGGUCUGCCUGUCGAAGAGAAAGAACUUGAUACUGGGUCUAACAGACUGUACGAAGUGGAACAGCUCCACCAGGAGAGACUGGAGAGAGACUGACCUACGCCCUGGGGUUGAGGACACUUAUCUAGGAGGUGGGAGAAUCAGGCAGAUCAGAGUGUGAAUUUUCCACGCCCUUGUCAAGUCCCUAUUCACCAGACUAUUGAC